This 487-nucleotide long non-coding RNA is filed under the name Salmo salar (Atlantic salmon). RNAcentral describes it as "lncRNA (ENSSSAG00000084720.1)". The record is from RNAcentral. Lineage: Eukaryota; Metazoa; Chordata; Actinopteri; Salmoniformes; Salmonidae.
UGAAAUUCUAAUGGAAAUGUUUCACAAUGAUGUCAUUAGGCAGAGCAGGCAACAGAUGGCACACAGACAGCAGAGUUGGGGACAGAUAUGCAGGGACAGACUGGCAGAGACAGGGAGUCUCAGGUCCCUAGUGGAAUGACAACAACAUGGCUGCUUGUUAAAGAAGAGAUGGAGAGAGAGACAGAGAUAACCAUAUACAUUGCACAUGGACCGUAAGAAAUCCUGAAGAGAGCCUAUUGGAACCUUAGAAAUUGUCACGUUACAGCAGAGAUGCUGUAUUUUCAAUAGAGAUGCCACAGAAGCAGAAGAAUGCCAUUUAUGGGCCAGACAGGGCACUUCCUGUAUGGAAUCUUCUCAGGUUUUGGCCUGCCAUAUGAGUUCUGUUAUACUCACAGACACCAUUCAAACAAUUUUACAAACUUUGGAGUGUUUUAUAUCCGAAUAUACUGGAAAAGAGUAGUAACCAGUUUAAAUCGGGUACGUUUUU